UGCCCUGGCAUUGUAUUUUCUUCCUUCGCC
RNAcentral lists this non-coding RNA (30 nucleotides) under Rattus norvegicus (Norway rat). Lineage: Eukaryota; Metazoa; Chordata; Mammalia; Rodentia; Muridae. The record is from RNAcentral.